GUAGGUGGCAAGCGUUGUCCGGAAUUAUUGGGCGUAAAGCGCGCGCAGGCGGUUCUUUAAGUCUGAUGUGAAAGCCCACGGCUCAACCGUGGAGGGUCAUUGGAAACUGGAGAACUUGAGUACAGAAGAGGAAAGCGGAAUUCCACGUGUAGCGGUGAAAUGCGUAGAGAUGUGGAGGAACACCAGUGGCGAAGGUGGCUUUCUGGUCUGUAACUGACGCUGAGGCGCGAAAGCGUGGGGAGCAAACAGGGAUUAGAUACCCUGGUAGUCCACGCCGUAAACGAUGAGUGCUAAGUGUUAGGGGGUUUCCGCCCCCUUAGUGCUGCAGCUAACGCAUUAAGCACUCCGCCUGGGGAGUACGGCCGCAAGACUG
This 373-nucleotide ribosomal RNA is filed under the name uncultured organism. RNAcentral describes it as "partial 16S ribosomal RNA". It matches the Rfam family "Bacterial small subunit ribosomal RNA", at positions 527 to 896 of the family's 1533-position model. The record is from RNAcentral.